GAUCCUGGCUCAGGAUGAACGCUGGCGGCGUGCUUAACACAUGCAAGUCGAGCGAAGCGCUUAAGUCUGAUUCUUCGGAUGAAGACUUUUGUGACUGAGCGGGCGGACGGGUGAGUAACGCGUGGGUAACCUGCCUCAUACAGGGGGAUAACAGUUAGAAAUGACUGCUAAUACCGCAUAAGACCACGGUACCGCAUGGUACAGCGGUAAAAACUCCGUUGGUAUGAGAUGGACCCGCGU
RNAcentral lists this ribosomal RNA (240 nucleotides) under uncultured bacterium. RNAcentral describes it as "partial 16S ribosomal RNA". It matches the Rfam family "Bacterial small subunit ribosomal RNA", at positions 15 to 236 of the family's 1533-position model. The record is from RNAcentral.